Small nucleolar RNA from Gorilla gorilla gorilla (western lowland gorilla), 142 nucleotides. Ensembl annotates it as small nucleolar RNA, C/D box 97. Its record names the gene SNORD97. The record is from Ensembl. NCBI's taxonomy places the organism in Eukaryota, Metazoa, Chordata, Mammalia, Primates, Hominidae.
UUGCCCGAUGAUUAUAAAAAGAUGCGUUAUUAAGAGGACUUUAUGCUGGAGUUCUUGACGUUUUUCUCUCUUUUCUAUACUUCUUUUUCUUUCUUUGAAUGUCCAGCGUCCUGUGAGCGAAGAUUAUGAGAUAUGAGGGCAA